AGACCGGACUUACAUUGUAAUGGAUUCAUCAUCGCCUGGAAUCGUAGAACAGAACCAAAGACUAUUUUCCACUCAUUGCAAAAACCAUCUCGAAAACCGCUGCGUGCUAGCACCUAAUUAAAAUAAACUGCCGAGCAUUAUGAUUGGAUGAAAGUUUAAUUCACUACACUACAAGUCUGGUCUAUCAUAUUUAUGAAGGCACUCGCAGCG
Paramuricea clavata is the source of this 210-nucleotide non-coding RNA. The record is from the annotation of a GenBank genome assembly. NCBI's taxonomy places the organism in Eukaryota, Metazoa, Cnidaria, Anthozoa, Malacalcyonacea, Plexauridae.